Molecule: ribosomal RNA, 1445 nt
Filed under: Ziziphus jujuba (common jujube)
Lineage: Eukaryota; Viridiplantae; Streptophyta; Magnoliopsida; Rosales; Rhamnaceae
Description: bacterial SSU rRNA
Rfam family: Bacterial small subunit ribosomal RNA
Source: RNAcentral
AGAGUUCAAUCCUGGCUCAGGAUGAAUGUUGGUAGCAUGCUUAACACAUGUAAGUUGGACGGGAAGUGGUAUUUCCAAUGGCAGAUGGUGAGUAACGCGUAAGAACCUGCCCUUGGGAGGGGAACAACAGUUGGAAAUGGCUGCUAAUACCCCGUAGGCUAAGGAGCAAAAGGAGGAAUCUACUCGAGGAGGGGCUCACAUCUGAUUAGCUAGUUGGUGAGGCAAUAGCUUACCAAGGUGAUGAUCAGCCACACUGGGACUAAGACACGGCCCAGACUCCUACAAGAGGCAACAGUGGGGAAUUUUCUGCAAUGGGCGAAAGCGUAACGAAGCAAUGCCACAUGGAGGUAGAAGGCCUACAGGUUAUGAACGUCUUUUCCCAGAGAAGAAACAAUGACGGUAUCUGGGGAAUAAGCAUCGGCUAACUCUGUUCCAGUAGCCGUGGUAAUACAGAGGAUGAAAGCGUUAUCCAGAAUGAUUGGGCGUAAAGCGUCUGUAGGUGGCUUUUAAGUUUGUCAUCAAAUUCCAGGGCUCAACCCUGGACAGGCGGUGGAAACUACCAAGCUGGAGUACGGUACGGGUAGAGGGAAUUUCUGUUGGAGCGCUGAAAUGCAUAGAGAUCAGAAAGAAAACCAAUGGAAAAAGCACUCUGUUGGGCCGACAUUGACACUGAGAGACGAAAGCUAGGGGAGCAAAUGGGAUUAGAUACCCCAGUAGUCCUAGCCGUAAAUGAUGGAUACUGGGCGCUGUGCGUAUCGACCCGUGCAGUGCUAUAGCUAAUGCAUUAAGUAUCCCGCCUUAAGAGUACAUUCGCAAGAAUGAAACUUAAAGGAAUUGGCAGGGGCCCGCACAAGUGGUGCAGCAUGUGGUUUAAUUCGAUGCAAAGCGAAGAACUUUACCAGGGCUUGACAUGCUGAGAAUCCUCUUGAAAGAGAGGGGUGCCUUCAGGAACGCGGACACAGGUGGUGCAUGGCUAUCGUCAGCUCGUGCCGUAAGGUGUUGGGUUAAGUCCCAUAACAAGUGCAACCCUCGUGUUUAGUUGCCACCGUUGAGUUUGGAACCCUGAGCAAACUGUCGGUGAUAAGCCGGACGAAGGUGAGAAUGUCGUCAAGUCAUCAUGCCUCUUAGGCCCUAGGUGACACACAUGCUACAAUGGCCGGGACAAAGGGUUCGCGAUCCCGUGAAGGUGAGCUAACUCCAAAAACCCAUCCUCAGUUUGGAUUGUAGGCUGCAACUCGCCUACAUGAAGCCAGAAUCCCUAGUAAUCGCCGGUCAGCCAUACGAUGGUGAAUUCGUUCCCGAGCCUUGUACACACCACCCAUCACACUAUGGGAGCUGGCCAUGCCUGAAGUCAUUACCUUAACCACAAGGAGGGGGAUGCCGAAGGCAGGGCUAGUGAUAGGAGUGAAGCUGUAACAAGGAAGCCGUACAGGAAGGUGCGGCUG